GACCUACAAAGUCUUUUAACAACUAAUGUCUUUUUAACAGAUUUAUGCUGCAUCAGGUGGAUCCAGUCACAGAGCAGCAGUCAGAGCUCCAGUUCACAUCCUGGAGUCAACCAGAAUGAAACUAACCAAUACAGCUCUCCUCUCCACGAUGCAGAUGAAUCCAGAGAUGUCACAUACUCUCUUAUUGAACUGAAACAAUUUGGGAAAAAGAGUGAGUUACACCAACACACACACUGUUUAAAGGAGGAAAAACAGCUCUGAAGGUUUUGAGCUUUGUGUGUUUUAGUGGAUGAAUGUGAGUGUGUUAACAGGGAGGCAUCAUGAACCAGAGGAGAGUUGUGUUUACUCUGAAGUGAAGACAAGAACUGCAGGUACAGUCAGUGUUUGGACUGAAACGUGUCAUCAUGUCAUCACAUCAGCUGUUUAUUUUGAGUCGUUCACAGCAUGUAAUUCAUCAAAUAAUCUUAAAAUUGUACCUUUU
This is a long non-coding RNA of Melanotaenia boesemani (Boeseman's rainbowfish), 481 nucleotides long. RefSeq lists it as uncharacterized. The record is from RefSeq and is a predicted model, not a curated record. Lineage: Eukaryota; Metazoa; Chordata; Actinopteri; Atheriniformes; Melanotaeniidae. The transcript has 3 exons.